AUUGCGCCUUAGCUGGUGUACCAAAUCAGUAAUUUUCUCACCGACCGAGGGUAUUUUCAAAAUUGUAAGUCAUUAAAUCCAACUUCUCGUUCCCCUCCCUCUCCCGGUGAGAAUAGCGUGGCAUCGGAGAGAGAAAGUCGGAGACAGAGGCAUCGGACGGUGGAGAUGCUGGCGGUAUUCGAUCGGUCGGUGGCGAAGAGCCCGGAGGGUCUGCGGAGCCCGGCGGCAGAGGAUGGUGGUGGGGGUGGGGUGCGCCCUUUACUGGAGCACUUCGCGGCGGCGCAUGAGGGAGCGGUGACCAUACACCUUGGUUCCUCUGCCGGCGCUUUGGCCUUCUCCGAUGAGAAGCAGAACCCCUUCCUCCCGAGAAAUAGUUGAGGCUUACUCUGCGAGUUAAGGAGACGGGAUCAAAUGUUGACAGUUUUGCUUCUGGGAAAACUCAGCGAAGAUCUUGAUUUUUUUUUUUGGAAUUUUUGCAAGCAAGCCUCUUGCAUAUUUUUGUGUGCUUAUGUGUUCCAACUGGUUUUUUUUUUUUCUUUGAGACUUGUUUGGAAAACCGAAACAGUUGUGGUUUCGCCCAAAAUGGGCAAUAUAUGAGAAAUUUUUAGAAGAAUAAGAAUGACAGAAGGAGUUUUAAGACA
Non-coding RNA from Phoenix dactylifera (date palm), 641 nucleotides. NCBI's taxonomy places the organism in Eukaryota, Viridiplantae, Streptophyta, Magnoliopsida, Arecales, Arecaceae. The record is from RefSeq and is a predicted model, not a curated record.